GGGAAUUUUGGACAAUGGGCGCAAGCCUGAUCCAGCAAUGCCGCGUGAGUGAAGAAGGCCUUCGGGUUGUAAAGCUCUUUUGUCAGGGAAGAAACGGUGAAGGCUAAUAUCCUUUGCUAAUGACGGUACCUGAAGAAUAAGCACCGGCUCACUACGUGCCAGCAGCCGCGGUAAUACGUAGGGUGCAAGCGUUAAUCGGAAUUACUGGGCGUAAAGCGUGCGCAGGCGGUUUUGUAAGUCUGAUGUGAAAUCCUCGGGCUCAACCUGGGAAUUGCAUUGGAGACUGCAAGGCUAGAAUCUGGCAGAGGGGGGUAGAAUUCCACGUGUAGCAGUGAAAUGCGUAGAGAUGUGGAGGAACACCGAUGGCGAAGGCAGCCCCCUGGGUCAAGAUUGACGCUCAUGCACGAAAGCGUGGGGAGCAAA
This 423-nucleotide ribosomal RNA is filed under the name uncultured bacterium. RNAcentral's name for it is "bacterial SSU rRNA". It matches the Rfam family "Bacterial small subunit ribosomal RNA", at positions 357 to 772 of the family's 1533-position model. The record is from RNAcentral.